RNAcentral lists this non-coding RNA (336 nucleotides) under Onchocerca ochengi. RNAcentral describes it as "Eukaryotic large subunit ribosomal RNA". It matches the Rfam family "Eukaryotic large subunit ribosomal RNA", at positions 847 to 1170 of the family's 3401-position model. Lineage: Eukaryota; Metazoa; Nematoda; Chromadorea; Rhabditida; Onchocercidae. The record is from Rfam by way of RNAcentral.
UGAAUUAGCUUUUUCUUCAUAAUUUAUAACGAAAUAUAAAGUCUUCCUGAUGGGAAUCCGAAGCGAUUCUGACGUGCAAAUCGAUUGUCUGACUUUGGUACAGCGGCGAAAGACUGAUCGAACAAUCUAGUAGCUGAUUCCCUCUGAAGUUUCCCUCAGGAUAGAUGGAGUACGUUAUGAAACUGCUACAUUCGGUAAAGCGAAUGAUUAAAGGAAUUGUGGGACGAAACGUCUUCAACCGUGGAUGACUCGCUUGCUCGAAUGAAGCGUGGACAUUGAAUAUGUGCUCUACAUAGGCCAUUUUGGUAAGCAGAACUGGGGUGCUGUGGACGGACA